AGCUUUGCAAGGUGGCAGUAUCGUAGCCAAUGAGGUUUAUCCCAGGCACGAUUAUUGCUAAUUGAAACUUUUCCCAAUACCCCGCCAUGACGACUUGAAAUAUAGUCGGCAUUGGCAGUUUUUGACAGUCUCUACGGAGA
RNAcentral lists this small nuclear RNA (140 nucleotides) under Cebus imitator (Panamanian white-faced capuchin). Its description in RNAcentral is "U4 spliceosomal RNA (ENSCCAG00000013846.1)". It matches the Rfam family "U4 spliceosomal RNA". From Rfam's summary of the family: U4 small nuclear RNA (U4 snRNA) is a component of the major U2-dependent spliceosome. The structure of U4 snRNA from yeast and human has been reported. Lineage: Eukaryota; Metazoa; Chordata; Mammalia; Primates; Cebidae. The record is from Rfam by way of RNAcentral.